ACGGGAAACCGGAGCUAAUACCGAUAAUAUAUUGAACCGCAUGGUUCAAUAGUGAAANGACGGUUUUGCUGUCACUUAUAGAUGGAUCCGCGCCGCAUUAGCUAGUUGGUAAGGUAACGGCUUACCAAGGCAACGAUGCGUAGCCGACCUGAGAGGGUGAUCGGCCACACUGGAACUGAGACACGGUCCAGACUCCUACGGGAGGCAGCAGC
Molecule: ribosomal RNA, 212 nt
Filed under: uncultured Staphylococcus sp.
Lineage: Bacteria; Bacillati; Bacillota; Bacilli; Caryophanales; Staphylococcaceae
Description: partial 16S ribosomal RNA
Rfam family: Bacterial small subunit ribosomal RNA
Source: RNAcentral